CUGCGCCGAGCCCCGCGGGGGAGGCAAGGCUGCUGCCGGCCGCCUCGGGGGAGCGGGCUGCGCGGCCGCCCCCGCCUAUAGGGGGCGAGGUGCCGCGACUGGGCGGGUGGCGUGUGGGGCGUCAGGCCAGCCUCAGGCCAGGCGGCGGCCGGUACCGGCAGGGCCCCAGCCCCACGCCAGCCUCUCCACCCCGGCCGAGGGUGCCUGAAGGCGGCGGGUGAGGAGGGCCGCAUGCCCACCGCCCUCAUCUUUGAUAAGUUGAUGAGUGACGAGGCGCCUGGCCCCUCUUGGCCUGCGCACCCCUCGCCUGGAGCGACGGCUGCUGUGAUGGGGCUGGCGUGAGGUUUGUGACCUGGAACUGGUUCACGAGUGGCUCACCUGAAAACCCUCCCUGCAUCAUUAUUUUUGCUUGCACUGUCCAGCGUGAAGUUCAUGCAGGUUGCUCGAUCGUAGGGAGUUGGGAGAGGCAGGCACAAUUCCACCUCUGAGGACCACGAAAGGAAGACAACAACACAGAGCAUUCAACAGAGCUGUUUUAAAGCAUCAGCUCCCAGAAGAAAUACCACUGAAUUCAGAAGUAGUCUAUUUAAGCUGCGUGGUGUUUAAAAAUUGCUGGAAGAGGUUAAGGGUGCAGGUACUGAGCAGAUAGCAGUUCUAUGUGUCAGCAUUUCUCUGGUGACUCCCAGCUUUUGCAGAAUUUAUGUUUUGAGUAAAAGGAUGCAAUUAUUUUUAUAGAUUAAAAAAAUAAAAUCUUUAUGUGUACACUGACUCCACACAGUCCUGGUCAACGCCAAGAAAAGUAAACUCUUCAUCUGAGGCAAGAUGUAGACUAUAUCAAUGAGGUCAUGUCUGAAGCUUAAUUAUGAGAUAAUAGUUGCAUCUUCUAAUUUCAGGCUUAAUCGGUUUUAUGACACCCAGCUUCACAGAGCAGAGCCGGUGUGAAUGCAAUAGGGACGACUUUUGCUACUUGAACGUCAUUAUUCCCUUGGCACACACUUGGCCACCACCAGUACUUGCCCGACAGCCGUACAGCCAUCCUGAGGGCAUUCAGGCUAGCGCAACUGACCUCGGAGCAGAAAGGGUACAGGCCAGAUCACCUCUUCCCUCAUGGCUGCUGGACCUGACAGACCUCCCCGAGGUGACCGAAGCCAGAGGCCCCUCGAGUGCCACAUUAGCCAAGGCCUCAGCUCGAGUUAGCUAACCUGAGGUAAAGCCCCCUCCAAGAUGAGGUAACCUUUAGUGCUCACAUUAGUGACCGUGCAGGACUGAUUAGUCAGAUAGCUACAAUGAAGAAUACAUCCCUUCUUCAUUUAAAUCUUUCCGAUUUAAAUGUUUUCUGUCUUUAGAGGGGAGGGGAGGGAGCCCCCUAAGAAACUCUGAAGGAACCAGCUAAUAAAACCAUAGUGUUACAUCACUGCAAGACUGUCAUCCCCUGUGGCAGGGAUGGAUCUGACUGGCUUUAAGUUGCUCAUCCGUAUCCCAAUGGACAUAGGCCAACUGCGGUUCUGAGGCCCAGCCUAUGACAAGU
Grus americana (Whooping crane) is the source of this 1528-nucleotide long non-coding RNA. RefSeq lists it as uncharacterized. NCBI's taxonomy places the organism in Eukaryota, Metazoa, Chordata, Aves, Gruiformes, Gruidae. The record is from RefSeq and is a predicted model, not a curated record. The transcript has 5 exons.